GGAUUAGAUACCCGGGUAGUCCACGCCGUAAACGAUGAUCACUAGACGUUGACUCUGCUUGCAGGGCCAGUGUCGCAGCUAACGCGAUAAGUGAUCCGCCUGGGGAGUACGGUCGCAAGACUAAAACUCAAAGGAAUUGACGGGGGCCCGCACAAGCGGUGGAACAUGUGGUUUAAUUCGACACUACGCGAGGAACCUUACCUAGGCUUGACAUGCUUUUGACAGUUGUAGAAAUACAAUCUUCUUUACUUUGUAAAGACAAUUGCACAGGUGCUGCAUGGUUGUCGUCAGCUCGUGUCGUGAGAUGUUGGGUUAAGUCCUUUAACGAGCGCAACCCUUGCCGAUAGUUGCUAUUUGUUUACAAAGCACUCUAUUGGGACUGCCUGGGAAACCA
Molecule: ribosomal RNA, 394 nt
Filed under: uncultured bacterium
Lineage: Bacteria
Description: bacterial SSU rRNA
Rfam family: Bacterial small subunit ribosomal RNA
Source: RNAcentral